RNAcentral lists this ribosomal RNA (460 nucleotides) under uncultured bacterium. RNAcentral describes it as "partial 16S ribosomal RNA". It matches the Rfam family "Bacterial small subunit ribosomal RNA", at positions 338 to 795 of the family's 1533-position model. The record is from RNAcentral.
CCUACGGGCGGCUGCAGUGAGGAAUAUUGGUCAAUGAGCGAGAGCCUGAACCAGCCAAGUCGCGUGAGGGAAGACGGUCCUAUGGAUUGUAAACCUCUUUUGUCGGGGAGCAAAAAGGCCUCGUGAGGCCACAAGUGAGAGUACCCGAAGAAAAAGCAUCGGCUAAAUCCGUGCCAGCAGCCGCGGUAAUACGGAGGAUGCGAGCGUUAUCCGGAUUUAUUGGGUUUAAAGGGUGCGUAGGCGGAAUGGAAAGGCCGCGGUAAAAUCGAGAGGCUCAACCUCUUUCCGCAGUUGAAACGGUCGGUGUUGAGUGUGCGAGAAGUAUGCGGAAUGCGUGGUGUAGCGGUGAAAUGCAUAGAUAUCACGCAGAACUCCGAUUGCGAAGGCAGCAAACCGGCGCCUGACUGACGCUGAGGCACGAAAGUGCGGGUAUCGAACAGGAUUAGAUACCCGGGUAGUC